RNAcentral lists this ribosomal RNA (253 nucleotides) under uncultured bacterium. Its description in RNAcentral is "partial 16S ribosomal RNA". It matches the Rfam family "Bacterial small subunit ribosomal RNA", at positions 524 to 776 of the family's 1533-position model. The record is from RNAcentral.
UACGUAGGGACCGAGCGUUGUCCGGAUUCAUUGGGCGUAAAGAGCUCGUAGGCGGCCACUCAAGUCGAAUGUGAAACCUCGAGGCUUAACCUCGAGCCUGCAUUCGAUACUGGGCGGCUAGAGUCUGGUAGGGGGAUCUGGAAUUCCUGGUGUAGCGGUGGAAUGCGCAGAUAUCAGGAAGAACACCAACGGCGAAGGCAGCUCGCUGGGACGGUACUGACGCUGAGACGCGAAAGCGUGGGGAGCGAACAGG